RNAcentral lists this ribosomal RNA (635 nucleotides) under Mycobacterium sp. So1Pt_31. Its description in RNAcentral is "bacterial SSU rRNA". It matches the Rfam family "Bacterial small subunit ribosomal RNA", at positions 380 to 1025 of the family's 1533-position model. Lineage: Bacteria; Bacillati; Actinomycetota; Actinomycetes; Mycobacteriales; Mycobacteriaceae. The record is from RNAcentral.
AGCCUGAUGCAGCGACGCCGCGUGAGGGAUGACGGCCUUCGGGUUGUAAACCUCUUUCAGUAGGGACGAAGCGCACGUGACGGUACCUAUAGAACAAGGACCGGCCAACUACGUGCCACCAGCCGCGGUAAUACGUAGGGUCCGAGCGUUGUCCGGAAUUACUGGGCGUAAAGAGCUCGUAGGUGGUUUGUCGCGUUGUUCGUGAAAACUCACAGCUCAACUGUGGGCGUGCGGGCGAUACAGGCAGACUACAGUACUGCAGGGGAGACUGGAAUUCCUGGUGUAGCGGUGGAAUGCGCAGAUCUCAAGAGGAACACCGGUGGCGAAGGCGGGUCUCUGGGCAGUAACUGACGCUGAGGAGCGAAAGCGUGGGGAGCGAACAGGAUUAGAUACCCUGGUAGUCCACGCCGUAAACGGGGGGUACUAGGUGUGGGUUUCCUUCCUUGGGAUCCGUGCCGUAUCUAACGCAUUAAGUACCCCGCCAGGGGAGUACGGCCGCAAGGCUAAAACUCAGAGAAAUUGACGGGGGCCCGCACAAGCGGCGGAGCAUGUGGAUUAAUUCGAUGCAACGCGAAGAACCUUACCUGGGUUUGACAUGCACAGGACGUGCCUAGAGAUAGGUAUUCCCUUGUGGU